Molecule: ribosomal RNA, 819 nt
Filed under: uncultured eukaryote
Lineage: Eukaryota
Description: SSU rRNA
Rfam family: Eukaryotic small subunit ribosomal RNA
Source: RNAcentral
CGGUGUUUAACUGGCGUGAUGUGGGACGUCCUACCGGUGGGCUUAGCCUCGCGAGGGGCGGCCCAACUAAUAUCCCGUCGCGGUGCUCUUUACUGAGUGUCGAGUCGGGCCGGUACGUUUACUUUGAACAAAUUAGAGUGCUUAAAGCAGGCUAUCCUCGCCUGAAUACUGCGUGCAUGGAAUAAUGGAAUAGGACCUCGGUUCUAUUUUGUUGGUUUUCGGAACCCCGAGGUAAUGAUUAAUAGGGACAGAUGGGGGCAUUCGUAUUGCGACGUUAGAGGUGAAAUUCUUGGAUCGUCGCAAGACGGACAGAAGCGAAAGCAUUUGCCAAAAAUGUUUUCAUUAAUCAAGAACGAAAGUUAGAGGUUCGAAGGCGAUCAGAUACCGCCCUAGUUCUAACCAUAAACGAUGCCAGCUAGCGAUCCGCCGAAGUUCCUCCGAUGACUCGGCGGGCAGCUUCCGGGAAGCCAAAGCUUUUGGGUUCCGGGGGAAGUAUGGUUGCAAAGCUGAAACUUAAAGGAAUUGACGGAAGGGCACCACCAGGAGUGGAGCCUGCGGCUUAAUUUGACUCAACACGGGAAACCUCACCAGGCCCAGACACCGGAAGGAUUGACAGAUUGAUAGCUCUUUCUUGAUUCGGUGGGUGGUGGUGCAUGGCCGUUCUUAGUUGGUGGAGCGAUUUGUCUGGUUAAUUCCGAUAACGAACGAGACUCUAGCCUGCUAAAUAGGCGUACCUUAUGGUAUCGCGAAGGCCCCCGGCUUCGGCCGGUGGGUUUUUACUACCAACGUACAAACAAAUCUUCUUAGAGGGACAGGCGG